RNAcentral lists this ribosomal RNA (515 nucleotides) under uncultured bacterium. Its description in RNAcentral is "partial 16S ribosomal RNA". It matches the Rfam family "Bacterial small subunit ribosomal RNA", at positions 28 to 523 of the family's 1533-position model. The record is from RNAcentral.
GAUGAACGCUGGCGGCGUGCCUAAUACAUGCAAGUCGAGCGAAUGGAUUAAGAGCUUGCUCUUAUGAAGUUAGCGGCGGACGGGUGAGUAACACGUGAGUAACCUGCCCAUAAGACUGGGAUAACUCCGGGAAACCGGGGCUAAUACCGGAUAAUAUUUUGAACUGCAUGGUUCAAAAUUGAAAGGCGGCUUCGGCUGUCACUUAUGGAUGGACCCGCGUCGCAUUAGCUAGUUGGGGAGGUAACGGCUCACCAAGGCAACGAUGCGUAGCCGAACUGAGAGGGUGAUCGGCCACACUGGGACGGAGACACGGCCCAGACUCCUACGGGAGGCAGCAGUAGGGAAUCUUCCGCAAUGGACGAAAGUCUGACGGAACAACGCCGCGUGAGUGAUGAAGGCUUUCGGGUCGUAAAACUCUGUUGUUAGGGAAGAACAAGUGCUAGUUGAAUAAGCUGGCACCUUGACGGUACCUAACCAGAAAGCCACGGCUAACUACGUGCCAGCCGCCGCCGUAA